Molecule: long non-coding RNA, 2296 nt
Filed under: Homo sapiens (human)
Lineage: Eukaryota; Metazoa; Chordata; Mammalia; Primates; Hominidae
Description: HSALNT0363554
Source: RNAcentral
AAAGACUCCUGCUGCUUCCUACUAGACGUGAGGCUUGCACUGCUCCCGCCAUGGAGCUCAGAUCAUGCCCUGGAGAAGCAGGUGACAUCGCGGAAUUUUCCUGUUCCAGAUGCCAGAAGUCUGAAAUGAAGGUGUAAAGCAGGGUGGUUCCUUCUGGAGGCUCUGAGAGAAUCACCCCAGGCCUCUCUCCAGCUUCUGGUGCUGGUAUUCUCAGGCUUGUAGGCGCAUCACCCAUGUCUGCCUCCAUCUUCACAUGGCCUUCUCCUCUGUGUCUGCCUGAAGUCUCCCUUCAUUUCUCUUGUAAGGACAUCAGUCAUUGGAUUUAGAGCCCACCCUAAACCCAGAAUGAUCUCAUCUCAAGAUUACAUCUGCACAGACGCUAUUUCCAGAUAAGGUCACAGUCAAAGGUACCAGGGGUUAGGAUAUGAACAUAUCUUUUUGAAAGACACGAUUUAACCUACAGCAGGUGCUCAGGGCAGUUGGGUGGGGGCCUGUGCUAGGGGCCCAACAGCCAAGGCUUAAAGCCGCACUCCACACCUAGGCCUGUGACACCUCCCACAAGCUUCUUCACCUCUCAAGCCUCAACUUCUACUUCUGCAAACAGGGAACAAUAAAAGUAUCUCCCUGCCCCCACCUUGCAGGGUUUCCAGUUCCAAUGUCUACACACUCACCUGGGAGUUAUCUGAAAUUGUUGUUCACCUGCUUAAACCUUUUGAGUUUCCAGCACCCCCCAGAAGUCCCCACCCUCUAGUCCCUUAGCAAGAUACUGGCCCUGCGUGAGCUUCCCACCUUCCUUGACAGCUGCAUCUCUCAUCAUUAGGACCUGGGCAACACUGCAGAAUAUGGCAGGUCUUCCCUCAUCUCUGUGCUUUGCCUCCAUUCCCUGACUUCUCUCCCAUCCUCCUCCUGUCACCUGGCCUCUCCCCAUCCUACUGGCCUUAAAGCUCAGCUCCUGAAGCCUCCCUGAUGCUCCUCCCUUCAUAGCCCCUCCCAGCCUGGCCACGUGGGCUCGGGCAGCCCAGAGCCUGGGCCUCCUGGUCACACUCUGAGCACACAGCCCAUUUUCUCUCCAGUGCUGGCUUGUGUUUGACACCAUGCCUGACACAUUGGGGGUGCUCAGUAGACCUGUGUGAGAUGGACAGCCUCCCGUACAGAUGGACGGACAGAUGUACAGCCCCGUGGAGAUGCCCUGUGUAAGCCACUGAAGCCUCUGGCCAACAGCAGUGGGAACCUGAGACGUGUCCACAAGCAUGCAUGGGAGCUUGGAAGUGGAUCCUUCAGCCCCAGCCAAGCCUUCAGACGAUGCAGCCUCAGGGACAGUAUGACUGCAGCCUCAUGAGACCCUGAGCCAGAAACACCCCUCCAAGCCACUCCCAGAUGCCUGGCCCUCAGAACCUGGGAGGCCAGCAAGCAGGAUCGCUCACCAGCCACCCUCCUGAACUGGCCUAUGGGGCCCCAGGAUGAUGCCAUAGCCACAAGUCUGGAGUUCCUCAAAGUACCUGGUCAGCACAACUCAGUUAAACAAUGGGCAAAAGACCUGAACAGACACUUCGCCAGAGAAGAUGUACAGAUGCAAGUAAGCAUUUGAAAAGGUGCCCCACAUCGUAUGUCGUUAGGGAAUGGUCCAAUCCAGAACACUGAUGGCACCAAAGGCUGCUGAGCAUGUGGAGCAGCAGAACUCUCAUUCACUGCUGGUGAGAAAAAUGGCGCAGCCCCAAUAGGGAACCCUAAUGCAGACUCUGGACUUCACUGGAAAUGACGUGUCAGUGUAGCUGCGUCAGUUGUAACAAAUGCACCAGUCUGGUGGGCGUGUUGAUAACCGGGGCUGCGCACGUGGGGAGAGAGGACCUGUGGGAAUGCUCUACUUUCCACUCAUUUUUGCUGUGAACUUAAAACUGCUCUUACAAAAUAACAUUGUUUGUUGUUGUUGUUGUUGUUGUUGUUGUUGUUGUUUUUAAGUAUCUAGUCAGCUCCACACAUGACCCGGGCAGAGUGGGAAGUUGUAGAGUGCCCCAAGGAGAGAAAUGGAACCAGGUCUCAUGUGGGGCCAAGUGUGGGCUCCCUGUCCUCUCAGCUGGUCCCAGGAACUGAAGGGAAAUUUAGACAACUUGGAGAAAGACACUCUAGGGCUCGGGGCAAAGGGUGGUGUUGAUGAGAACCAUAUUUUUUUAUUGCUGGUGUAAGCACUUGUAUUUUUCUGAUUUUCCACUGGUUCGAUAAUAAGGGUAAAAGACAAUAAAGCAUACUUUUUAAGCUUUUGUUUAGAAGUUUUUUUUCCAAUAAAACUUCCCCAAAA